CGCCAUCUUGAAAUCGCGCGUGUUUCCAUGGCAACAUAGCUGCCACGCGCGGAUAAAAGCAAUAUGGCGGCUGAAAAAAGUUGGUCACUCAAACAUUUAAAAUUGAAUAAAUGUUGUAUUCAUUUUGAGGAUGUUUCACAAUCACUUCUAAAGGUCACAGAGAAGCGUCUGAAGAGAUUUGUUGCUUGUCGUGAGAAAUUGGCGAAGCUCAAAGACCAGAAAUCUGUCACAAAUCGGACUUGUUUACUAGCGAAGAUGGGAUCAUGGGGCCACCACUUAAUUAUAAUACGAGAGUUUCUGAGGGGGGUUGAAAAGGCUGUUUCUGAGGGGUUGUGUGCAUCGGCAUCUUUUGAUCUUUGCGUUCUUUCUGAGGGGUAAGGCAAACAUUUCUUAAUUUGGGGGGGGG
Paramuricea clavata is the source of this 406-nucleotide non-coding RNA. The record is from the annotation of a GenBank genome assembly. NCBI's taxonomy places the organism in Eukaryota, Metazoa, Cnidaria, Anthozoa, Malacalcyonacea, Plexauridae.